UACGGGGGGGGCAAGCGUUGUUCGGAAUUACUGGGCGUAAAGGGCGCGUAGGCGGCCUUCUAAGUCGGACGUGAAAUCCCUCGGCUUAACCGAGGAACUGCGUCCGAUACUGAAAGGCUUGAAUCCGGGAGAGGGAUGUGGAAUUCCAGGUGUAGCGGUGAAAUGCGUAGAUAUCUGGAGGAACACCGGUGGCGAAGGCGGCAUCCUGGACCAACACUGACGCUGAUGAGCGAAAGCCAGGGGAGCAAACGGG
RNAcentral lists this ribosomal RNA (253 nucleotides) under uncultured bacterium. Its description in RNAcentral is "partial 16S ribosomal RNA". It matches the Rfam family "Bacterial small subunit ribosomal RNA", at positions 524 to 776 of the family's 1533-position model. The record is from RNAcentral.